AGUGAAUAGAUACCCGGGUAGUCCUAGCUGUAAACGGUGCACGUUUGGUGUGGGAGGCAACCCCUCCUGUGCCGAAACGACUAAACGACGAUAAGCGUGCCGCCUGGGUAGUACGGUCGCAAGACUAAACUACAAGAAAUUAGACGGGGACCCGGCACAAGCGGUGGAGUAUGUAGCUUAAUUACGAUGCAACGCGAAGAACCUUACCAGGGCGUUGACAUGUAUUGUAACCCCGGGUCGAAAGCCGGGCAGCGUAGAAAUACGCGCUUUACACAGGUGCUGCAUGGCUGUCGUCAGCUCGUGUCGUGGAGAUUGGUUAGGUUACCG
RNAcentral lists this ribosomal RNA (327 nucleotides) under uncultured bacterium. RNAcentral describes it as "bacterial SSU rRNA". It matches the Rfam family "Bacterial small subunit ribosomal RNA", at positions 774 to 1089 of the family's 1533-position model. The record is from RNAcentral.